RNAcentral lists this ribosomal RNA (478 nucleotides) under Cryptosporidium sp. duck genotype b. RNAcentral describes it as "SSU rRNA". It matches the Rfam family "Eukaryotic small subunit ribosomal RNA", at positions 557 to 1072 of the family's 1831-position model. Lineage: Eukaryota; Apicomplexa; Conoidasida; Eucoccidiorida; Cryptosporidiidae. The record is from RNAcentral.
AAGUCUGGUGCCAGCAGCCGCGGUAAUUCCAGCUCCAAUAGCGUAUAUUAAAGUUGUUGCAGUUAAAAAGCUCGUAGUUGGAUUUCUGUUAAUUUUUAUAUAUAAUACUACGGUAUUUAUAUAACAUUAACAUAAUUCGCAUUACUUUAUGUAUGCGAAAUUUUACUUUGAGAAAAUUAGAGUGCUUAAAGCAGGCAAUUGCCUUGAAUACUCCAGCAUGGAAUAAUAUUAAGGAUUUUUAUCCUUCUUAUUGGUUCUAGGAUAAAAAUAAUGAUUAAUAGGGACAGUUGGGGGCAUUUGUAUUUAACAGUCAGAGGUGAAAUUCUUAGAUUUGUUAAAGACAAACUACUGCGAAAGCAUUUGCCAAGGAUGUUUUCAUUAAUCAAGAACGAAAGUUAGGGGAUCGAAGACGAUCAGAUACCGUCGUAGUCUUAACCAUAAACUAUGCCGACUAGAGAUUGGAGGUUGUUCCUUACUC